CCCAUAUUCAGUCUUCACUUUUCACAAACUCAUCUCUUUUCUCUUUCACUGGGAACCAUAGAAGCCACAACAAGCCACCAAUCGAGCAGCUAGUCAGCCACCGCAGCCCGCCACCACUACAUCCCGCAGCUACCGCAUUCCGCAGCGAUGAGUUUGAAGACCGCGUCCUUGUCAUCGCCGGACUCGCCUUUUUUGUGUUCGCCGGUGUCGCCUCCUCUGUCGUCGCCGUUGCUCACCUUCCUCCUUCGCCGUCGGUUCAAUUUUCUCAAUCUGCGACUUUCUCUCUCUGAGUCGAAGUUGAGCCUCUGUUCCAUCCUCUUUUCGUAGAGUUUCUUGGUGUGCGGUGACCUCUCAUUGCCGUCUCUGGUCGUGGAAGCAUCAUUGUACGACAGCAACGCUUUCCUCCCUUCUUUAUUUCCAUCUUUGACUAGUACUUCAGAUUUUUGCUCUGUUUUCUCUUGCUGUUUUGUUUAGCUUUAAUUAUAUAGUUUGUUUUACAUUAGUUUAGUUGGAUUUUUUAUUUCUGUUAGUGGAUUCUAGGUUGUUGGAAUAAGGUAGUUCAGUUUGUAGAUUCUAAGUUUGUUGCAAGUUUUGAGAAUUAGAAAUUUUUCGAUUGGCUGAUGCUUUGCUUGCUUAUAUAAGCUUAGUUACUUCUAGUUAUUAUUGUGUUUGGCUGUAUUAAGUGUGAAAGUUGUUGAAUGGGUAAGCAUUGUAGUUGAAGUUUGUUUGUUUAUACUGAAUUUGUACGUUGCGUGCUAGGUGUUCGAUUAAAUGCCUCUGGGAUGCUUUGAGUUUGAAUUAUAUGUUGUAGUUACCAUAUAA
Arachis duranensis is the source of this 822-nucleotide long non-coding RNA. RefSeq lists it as uncharacterized. The transcript is spliced from 2 exons. The record is from RefSeq and is a predicted model, not a curated record. Lineage: Eukaryota; Viridiplantae; Streptophyta; Magnoliopsida; Fabales; Fabaceae.